GACGAACGCUGGCGGCGUGCUUAACACAUGCAAGUCGAACGGUAAGGCCCUUCGGGGUACACGAGUGGCGAACGGGUGAGUAACACGUGGGUGAUCUGCCCUGCACUUCGGGAUAAGCUUGGGAAACUGGGUCUAAUACCGGAUAGGACUCCGGACUGCAUGGUCUGGGGUGGAAAGCUUUUGCGGUGUGGGAUGGGCCCGCGGCCUAUCAGCUUGUUGGUGGGGUGAUGGCCUACCAAGGCGACGACGGGUAGCCGGCCUGGGAGGGUGACCGGCCACACUGGGACUGAGAUACGGCCCAGACUCCUACGGGAGGCAGCAGUGGGGAAUAUUGCACAAUGGGCGCAAGCCUGAUGCAGCGACGCCGCGUGGGGGAUGACGGCCUUCGGGUUGUAAACCUCUUUCAGCAUCGACGAAGCGAAAGUGACGGUAGGUGCAGAAGAAGGACCGGCCAACUACGUGCCAGCCGCCGCAGUAA
Molecule: ribosomal RNA, 478 nt
Filed under: uncultured bacterium
Lineage: Bacteria
Description: partial 16S ribosomal RNA
Rfam family: Bacterial small subunit ribosomal RNA
Source: RNAcentral